This 956-nucleotide small RNA is filed under the name Histoplasma ohiense. Its description in RNAcentral is "hypothetical lncRNA". Lineage: Eukaryota; Fungi; Ascomycota; Eurotiomycetes; Onygenales; Ajellomycetaceae. The record is from RNAcentral.
ACAGCUUUGUUUACUGCCGGAGGGGUUGAAUUUGGCGUCUCGCUCUCACUCAGUCUGCAUGCUGGCGCAUCCAGGUUAUCUAUUUGAUGUCCACUCAGUCACGCUUGUUUACUAGAUCGAAGAUGGCUAGUCCAUCUGGCAAGGAUUGACAUCAGUGCACUGUGAUAUAGAUCAAGGUUACCAUCAAAGUGCAUGGGAGCUCCGAACAAAAUGUUUCACCACGCCAUGUCUUUCCCCAUUGUCAAACCGAAUCUCAACGAUCAAUUACACCACUCCCAUACAACAAACAUACGGGAGGAGCGUUGCUCAAUCUUCCUCUCUCUCACCCUGCUCAGUUAAUCCCGUGGAGCCAGAACACCUAUCCCGGAUCGACUUUGUUUCAGCCAAGAACCCAGCCCCGGGCCCGGGCCCGCCCUUUACGAUUUGAAUUGAAGAAAUAGACCUCUGUCCGUGGUUCCUGAUCUCAUAUAUCUCUUUUUUCCGCCAGGUUUUUACUUCCUAAGUAGGGGGGUCCAUGGAUGUGGAGAUUGAUCUACGUUCAUUUCAUAAUCUAUGUAGGAGCGUCGAGAACGGGAGAAAACGGGGAAGGGGGAUGUAUGUAUGUAUAUAUAUAUAUAUAAUGAAAUCAGAGUAAUGAGCCGUUUCCCACAUAUUGCAGUUAUCAACUCGGCUGCGAUUUCGCAGGUGGAAAGAGAAAGAGAGGGGAGAGAAAGAAGGGGGAAGGGAGAAGGGGAUCUUACAACAGUCAUUAAGUAGAGAGAGCGUUUUGGCCAGCCAAAAGGAGGAAAAAUAUCAAAAAUAUAUAUAUCAAAGCGUUCGCUGGCCGGAGGCGUUGGAAUGCAAUACGUCAAUUGACCAAGGCAAAACCAGGUGUUUAAAACCAUUGGUUAACGAGUAAACUAACCUACCAUCAUGGGAGAAAUACGAACCACAUACAUAAGCUCGCGACUGGGACG